GGGAUGGGAGAAAGGAAUGAUGCUUAGAAUUCCCCCAGGCAGGUUGGAAGGCUUGAAUAAUGUGAGAAGCCCUUGGGACAUACAUAUGUCCUUUCUCUCUCCUUUUUUU
Molecule: non-coding RNA, 109 nt
Filed under: Sarcophilus harrisii (Tasmanian devil)
Lineage: Eukaryota; Metazoa; Chordata; Mammalia; Dasyuromorphia; Dasyuridae
Source: RNAcentral